Molecule: transfer RNA, 74 nt
Filed under: Acidobacteriota bacterium
Lineage: Bacteria; Pseudomonadati; Acidobacteriota
Description: Acidobacteria bacterium tRNA-Cys
Rfam family: tRNA
About the family: Transfer RNA (tRNA) molecules are approximately 80 nucleotides in length. Their secondary structure includes four short double-helical elements and three loops (D, anti-codon, and T loops). Further hydrogen bonds mediate the characteristic L-shaped molecular structure. tRNAs have two regions of fundamental functional importance: the anti-codon, which is responsible for specific mRNA codon recognition, and the 3' end, to which the tRNAs corresponding amino acid is attached (by aminoacyl-tRNA synthetases). tRNAs cope with the degeneracy of the genetic code in two manners: having more than one tRNA (with a specific anti-codon) for a particular amino acid; and 'wobble' base-pairing, i.e. permitting non-standard base-pairing at the 3rd anti-codon position.
Source: RNAcentral
GGCGGCGUAGCCAAGUGGUAAGGCAGAGGUCUGCAAAACCUCCAGCAUCGGUUCGAUUCCGAUCGCCGCCUCCA